ACAAGAAAAACACAGUACUAGUAAUUGGGCUUGUGGCUUGAUUGAACCAUACAAUUUAUCAUCGAUAAGAGGGGUGCAAGCACAUACCAUGAAUUUCUAUUUAAGUAAAAAAAAAAGGCGGUCCAGUGCACGAAGCAUUUCGUGGUCAGGUGUGGCUGGUGAAGGGCAUCACCUCGAGGGUUGUGAUGUUGAUAGUCUAUCCUGAUACAAGUAUGAGUCUGAUUCCACGGCUAGAUACUAUGAAUUUCCUAUCUCUGAUAUUUAAUUAGUUAGUGAAGCCUCAACAACUACAUCUAUAGGGAAAAAGAAAACAGCCAAUAUAAAAAAAAAAGUAGUUCAGUGCACGAAGCAUUCCGUGUUCAUGUAUGAUUGCGGAAGGGCAGCACCUCGAGAGGUGUGAUAUAGGCAGCAUAUCCUAAUACAAGUAUCAGUGGUUAAUUCCAUUGCUCGAUAUCAUGAACUUCUCUUCUUUGAUAUUUAAUUAGUAAGUGAAGCCCCAACAACUGCAUCUAUAGGGAAAAAGAAAACAACCAAGAAGAAGAAUUCAUGCAAAACCCUACCAUCUGAACAAGCAUAACCACAAUACAAGAUUAGUCUUGCUCUUUUUCCUGCUUGAGAUAUAAUGUCGUCAGUCAGUUAAUCGCCCCAAAAAUAACACACGGGAGUAAGAUAUGGCUUUGAAUCUGGAGUUAAUGUCAAGAAAUUAACAUUUGAUUAGCUACAUGAUCAUGACCAACAAAUCAAGCGACAAUUAAUCAUUAGAACAUAGUAUAAUUCCUGGAAAUUUAGGGUUGAAAAUAUUGAUAAUAAUAAUAAUACUUAGCCAAUACACGAGGGGCAACAACAUAGAAUAGUAGAAGAUUAGAAUUUGGGUAAGAAACACAAAUUUACAUGAUCGUUGCCUUUAGAGUGAAAUUCCACUGCUAAUUUACUGCAAAUUUUAAUAUGACAUCCUACUGCAAUGAUAGAAUGAACCAUUUAAGGAUCAUUUAACUUUUACUCCAAUAGAAAUUCGGAAACUCUUUAAUCUCUAAGCUACUUUUAAAGAAACUUAGAAUAAAGAUAAUUGAUAUUUGGAAGGAGACUUAAAGAUCAAUCAAAGGAUAAAACUAAGCUUCUUGUAAGCAAAAAUAGGCAUAUAUAGGUAUUGAACAAUCGCCAACAUGCCUUUCAUGAAUGGACACAUUUUUGCAUAUGAUUAGAUGUGUCAUUAUAUUUAAUCAGAAACAUGCAUGUCUCCCUAAUUAAGGAUGUCAAUCUCUACUAGCUAAAAAUACCUUAUCAAAUAUAUGUGACUUAAUUUGGACAAUCAUUUGAUAUACUUUUCACAAAAUCUCAUUGUCUUUCAACCAACAGGCAAGUUAAACAAUGACUCACUCAAAAUAAAAACCUACAGCGUUUAUGUGAACAGUAUUCCUAUGAUUGGAAUUUGAUAUCCCAAUUAACAAGUCCUUCAAAAACCUUUUAAUUAGUAGGUUGAAUUUCAUGGUCAAGUAAAUUACACUUAACAGCAACAAUAUAAAUCCCAUUAUUUUGAACAAAAAGGAGGAAAUCUGCAAACAAUAUAAAUACAUUUAAAACAACAAUUGAAGCUAGGGAGGGGCUGAGGAUGAUGGCAGAAGACUAGAGAGCACAAAUGAUUAAGAUGCAGAAAGCUUCCAGUUAGCAUCAUAUCAUCAUCUGUGCUCUCUAUCUUCUGUCAACAACAUCUCCCACUUGCCUCCUUUCUUUUUAUACUUACAAUCAUACGUCAGUGGCAGAUCUAACAAUGAGUUCGCGAGUUUAGAAAAAUCUAGUACUUGAGGUUGAACCUGAAUAUAUGGAAGUAAAUAGAAACAAGUAUUUAUAUAUAUAUAUAUAUAUAUAUAUAUAUAUAUUUCAGAAUCGACCACAGUCAAUAUAUAAGCCAUAAUGUCUAAAUUCUCGAUUCACUGCGGAACAAUCAUAGUAAUAGUGAAUAUAGUUGAAGGAGAUAAAUGAAGAUUAUAGAGCACAGAGAGGAUAAAUCAAGGAC
Molecule: long non-coding RNA, 2014 nt
Filed under: Nicotiana benthamiana
Lineage: Eukaryota; Viridiplantae; Streptophyta; Magnoliopsida; Solanales; Solanaceae
Description: long non-coding RNA (NBEN_LNC011779)
Source: RNAcentral